Molecule: ribosomal RNA, 520 nt
Filed under: uncultured Glomus
Lineage: Eukaryota; Fungi; Glomeromycota; Glomeromycetes; Glomerales; Glomeraceae
Description: SSU rRNA
Rfam family: Eukaryotic small subunit ribosomal RNA
Source: RNAcentral
AGCAGCCGCGGUAAUUCCAGCUCCAAUAGCGUAUAUUAAAGUUGUUGCAGUUAAAAAGCUCGUAGUUGAAUUUCGGGGUUAGUAGGUUGGUCAUGCCUCUGGUAUGUACUGGUCUCACUGAUUCCUCCUUCCUGAUGAACCUUAAUGCCAUUUAUUUGGUGUUUUGGGGAAUUUGGACUGUUACUUUGAAAAAAUUAGAGUGUUUAAAGCAAGCUAACGCUUGAAUACAUUAGCAUGGAAUAAUGAAAUAGGACGUUCGAUCCUAUUUUGUUGGUUUCUAGGAUUGACGUAAUGAUUAAUAGGGAUAGUUGGGGGCAUUAGUAUUCAAUUGUCAGAGGUGAAAUUCUUGGAUUUAUUGAAGACUAACUACUGCGAAAGCAUUUGCCAAGGAUGUUUUCAUUAAUCAAGAACGAAAGUUAGGGGAUCGAAGACGAUCAGAUACCGUCGUAGUCUUAACCAUAAACUAUGCCGACUAGGGAUCGGGAUGAUGUUAAUUUUUAAUGUACUCAUUCGGCGCCUU